RNAcentral lists this long non-coding RNA (1602 nucleotides) under Gallus gallus (chicken). RNAcentral describes it as "lncRNA (ENSGALG00010026867.1)". Lineage: Eukaryota; Metazoa; Chordata; Aves; Galliformes; Phasianidae. The record is from RNAcentral.
AUUUAAAUGCUAAAGGGCAGCUCCUCUACUGAAGGCAACUGAAGCCAAGAGAGCUGUGACAGUUUAUGCCAACUGAAGAUUUGCCUUUAAGUAAAUGUUUUAAACUUUUCACUAAGGAGACUAAAAUAAGCCAUAGCAUGAAACGUUAAGAGUAAAGAAUGAACUCUGGAGACCAGAGGGAUUUGGGAAAUGAAAUGAGAUCCAUCUUACUGGCACAUUUCCCCCUCCGUCUAUUUUUGGAAUUUAAAAAAUUCCCCCAGAUUUGUCUUCUACAGACCAGCUUUUUGUUCACAGACCAGCACUGAGCAGCCUCCUCUUUCACACAGGGCAGGCAUACUGAUACGCUUUGUGAAAACUAAACUAGGAACACCUGCAGAGCCCCCUGGUGAGCCCCAGUGGAGGGGCUCUGAACUGAAGAGGAACACAUCUAAUGAUGCCCUGAAGUUUAGUCUGAGUAUCUCCAAAUGGAGCAUAGCUGGAAAAACAAAUCAUCUGGGGAAUGCAUUGUCUGGUUGCACAGGCCACAGCUCCAAACAGGAUGUAGUGAAGCUGCAUGGGAAACUGAUCCAGCUGUGCUACAGGAUGGAGCAGGUUCAAGUGUGUCAGCUCCUGGUCUGAAUGUGGGAACAGCAGAAACACGCUGUGUAGGUGGCUUACACUGUGUAGCCAGUGAACGUGCCUGCAGAUACAUGGGCAAUACCAGCAACAAAGGCUACUUCCUUACCAGCCCACGCACAAAUCUGUUCCACGCUCCGCAUGGGAAGAGGCAGCAGCAUCGCGGAUGAGCGAAGGCUGCAGGGUGCUGAUAUUUGGGUGAAAAUCCACACCCCACUGUGUUAUUCAUCCCUCACCAGUCCUCCAAAAUCUCCUCCCCCAGGAUAGUUUUUUGGACAGCAUCGGGAUAAAUUCUGCUGGAGGAUGGCAGAACAGGCCAAGGAGUGAGUCAAAAAUACCCACUCGUUUGAGGGAAUGAAGUAGUGUGGAAGGACUGGGUGCUAUUAAGUUGAAAGCUGUUUGUGUAGCACGGCUGCCUAACAAACAACCCUUUCAAAAUCUCUGAAUAAGAAUAAUGAUAUUUACUCCAAUCUUGUAGACACAGCCUUGCUCUCUUCCCAAAGCGAGGGCAAGGUCUAUGCACAGCCAGCUUCUCUGUGGGAAAGGAGAUCUGUUCAGCGCCAACGUGAACGUUGCCAGAAUGGGGUUCACAGUUGCAUGAUAGGAACACAGCAGUACUGGGCUGGGGGGAUUUGAUGCAAGCACUAACCUACUUAAUCCACUGGAGACUGCCUGGCUGUUCUUGUCUGCUUGCCAGAAGGGCUCUCAUGUCUGUGCCUCACUGCAGGGAUGCCCUGUGUUAGUUCCUCUUCCAUUUUUCACUUCUAUUUUUCACCUAGGAAACCUCCUUACGCAGGACUGAAUGUCCUUGAAAGCAUCAGUUAUAACAAACAACCAGGGGCAGAUCUCAGACGAAUGCUGCACAAGUCAGAGGUCACAGCUGGAACUGCUUUUAGGGGAAAUUCAAAAUUACUGUCAAAAGCAGUUCUCUCUCAUUUUAAUUGUAAUUGGUUAAUCUCAUUUUAUUUGCCUUGUGGCUAUGGCUGU